This 384-nucleotide ribosomal RNA is filed under the name Escherichia coli. RNAcentral describes it as "partial 23S ribosomal RNA". It matches the Rfam family "Bacterial large subunit ribosomal RNA", at positions 2547 to 2925 of the family's 2925-position model. Lineage: Bacteria; Pseudomonadati; Pseudomonadota; Gammaproteobacteria; Enterobacterales; Enterobacteriaceae. The record is from RNAcentral.
CUGGGGCUGAAGUAGGUCCCAAGGGUAUGGCUGUUCGCCAUUUAAAGUGGUACGCGAGCUGGGUUUAGAACGUCGUGAGACAGUUCGGUCCCUAUCUGCCGUGGGCGCUGGAGAACUGAGGGGGGCUGCUCCUAGUACGAGAGGACCGGAGUGGACGCAUCACUGGUGUUCGGGUUGUCAUGCCAAUGGCACUGCCCGGUAGCUAAAUGCGGAAGAGAUAAGUGCUGAAAGCAUCUAAGCACGAAACUUGCCCCGAGAUGAGUUCUCCCUGACUCCUUGAGAGUCCUGAAGGAACGUUGAAGACGACGACGUUGAUAGGCCGGGUGUGUAAGCGCAGCGAUGCGUUGAGCUAACCGGUACUAAUGAACCGUGAGGCUUAACCUU